Molecule: long non-coding RNA, 337 nt
Organism: Neopsephotus bourkii (Bourke's parrot)
Lineage: Eukaryota; Metazoa; Chordata; Aves; Psittaciformes; Psittacidae
Exons: 4
Source: RefSeq, a predicted model, not a curated record
AUGGCUGGAGUUGGCUUCAGCUCGGCUCGGAUGCGUGAGCCUGACUGAUGGGGAACUGCCUAAAAGUGAAAUAUUCAAAGGCAUCGCAAGACCAGCCUCUUUACCAACGUGUGAACGUAUCCCGAGGGAGAAGAAGAGACCAGGAGAGACGCUGGCUCCGACCCUCGCACCACGUAACACUGCUCCGGAGUCAAAGCCAGUGACUCCAGGGAGGGAGGCCCAGCUCCUGCCUGUCCAUCUGUGGCUCCCAGCACAGCUCCCCUGCACCCGGCACAUCCCAGCCUUGGCACACGCCUGGCAGCACAACCCAUGCCAACACCUCCCAUCUCCCCUCCAC